UGGGGAAUCUUGCACAAUGGGGGAAACCCUGAUGCAGCGACGCCGCGUGAACGAUGAAGCCCUUCGGGGUGUAAAGUUCUUUCGACAGGAACGAUAAUGACGGUACCUGGAGAAGAAGCUGCGGCUAACUACGUGCCAGCAGCCGCGGUAAUACGUAGGCAGCGAGCGUUGUUCGGAGUUACUGGGCGUAAAGAGUGCGUAGGCGGCGAGCCAAGUUUGGUGUGAAAUCUCCCGGCUUAACCGGGAGGGUGCGCCGAAAACUGGUUGGCUGGAGUAUGGGAGAGGAAAGCGGAAUUCCUGGUGUAGCGGUGAAAUGCGUAGAUAUCUGGAGGAACACCUGCGGUGUAGACAGCUUUCUGGACCAAAACUGACGCUGAGGCACGAAAGCGUGGGUAGCAAACA
Molecule: ribosomal RNA, 402 nt
Filed under: uncultured bacterium
Lineage: Bacteria
Description: bacterial SSU rRNA
Rfam family: Bacterial small subunit ribosomal RNA
Source: RNAcentral